GCACUGGAGGCAGCGGUUCAUCGAUCUGUUUAUGAGAUUUGUUGUGAAAAAACACAGAACAUGAAUCGGUCGAUAAACCUCUGCAUCCAGCGC
RNAcentral lists this microRNA precursor (93 nucleotides) under Malus domestica (apple). Its description in RNAcentral is "miR162a stem-loop (mdm-MIR162a)". Its record names the gene mdm-MIR162a. It matches the Rfam family "MIR162_1 microRNA precursor family", at positions 9 to 105 of the family's 112-position model. Lineage: Eukaryota; Viridiplantae; Streptophyta; Magnoliopsida; Rosales; Rosaceae. The record is from miRBase by way of RNAcentral.